Molecule: ribosomal RNA, 852 nt
Filed under: uncultured bacterium
Lineage: Bacteria
Description: bacterial SSU rRNA
Rfam family: Bacterial small subunit ribosomal RNA
Source: RNAcentral
UCCGGAUUUAUUGGGCGUAAAGGGAGCGCAGGCGGUUUAGUAAGUCUGAAGUUAAAGNCAUUGGCUCAACCAAUGUAUGCUUUGGAAACUGUUAGACUUGAGUGCAGAAGGGGAGAGUGGAAUUCCAUGUGUAGCGGUGAAAUGCGUAGAUAUAUGGAGGAACACCGGUGGCGAAAGCGGCUCUCUGGUCUGUCACUGACGCUGAGGCUCGAAAGCGUGGGUAGCGAACAGGAUUAGAUACCCUGGUAGUCCACGCCGUAAACGCUGAGUGCUAGGUGUUAGGUCCUUUCCGGGACUUAGUGCCGACGCUAACGCAUUAAGCACUCCGCCUGGGGAGUACGACCGCAAGGUUGAAACUCAAAGGAAUUGACGGGGGCCCGCACAAGCGGUGGAGCAUGUGGUUUAAUUCGAAGCAACGCGAAGAACCUUACCAGGUCUUGACAUCCCGAUGCCCGCUCUAGAGAUAGAGUUUUUCUUCGGAACAUCGGAGACAGGUGGUGCAUGGUUGUCGUCAGCUCGUGUCGUGAGAUGUUGGGUUAAGUCCCGCAACGAGCGCAACCCUUAUUGUUAGUUGCCAUCAUUAAGUUGGGCACUCUAGCGAGACUGCCGGUAAUAAACCGGAGGAAGGUGGGGAUGACGUCAAAUCAUCAUGCCCCUUAUGACCUGGGCUACACACGUGCUACAAUGGUUGGUACAACGAGUCGCAAGCCGGUGACGGCAAGCUAAUCUCUGAAAGCCAAUCUCAGUUCGGAUUGUAGGCUGCAACUCGCCUACAUGAAGUCGGAAUCGCUAGUAAUCGCGGAUCAGCACGCCGCGGUGAAUACGUCCCCGGGCCUUGUACACACCGCCCGU